CUUUUAUUUCUUUAAUGAAACACAACAGCUUGGAAUUGCAAGGAAUUUCUAUAAAGAAAAUGGCAUAGAAAAUUGAAGGCCAUAGAGCAUUUUGGAUCCUAUAAAAAUGGGGACGAACCAUGUAUUCAUUUUCUCAAUAAAAACACCAUUCCCACAUCCCUCUACAUUCAGCACCAUUUUUUGCAUAUUGGUUCUGAUUUUUUCAAUAUUCUCUGUCUCUUCUCUCUCUCUCUCUCUCUUUCUCUCAAUCUUUUUUUAUGUUUUGAGAGAGGGUUUUUUUUGGUAGUAACGAAGAAGGAAGAGACAGAGGAAAAUGGUUGUUUCAAACAUUUCAUUUGGAGUUUUUGCUGCCAUUGUUGCCAUUGUUUUUGCCAUCUCUAUACCUUUGGCUCAUGGCCAAUCUUCAGCUCCAGCUCCAUCACCCACAAGCGAUGGCGCUGCAAUAGACCAAGGAGUAGCUUGUAUUCUAAUGCUUGUGGCGUUGGUGCUCACAUACCUUAUUCACUGAUGAUUAUUCAUCAAACAAACUAAGGCACAUACAUUAUUUUGGAUGUAACGUCAUAUCAAUCUCCCCUGUUCUUUUUUUAUUUUUUUUCAUGUGGGACAACAUUGAUAUAUUCUCUUCUAAGAAAAAUGUUUGGUGUGUUCUAAUUAUUUCCAUAUGUAAUUUGAUGAGACUUGAAGGAAUAUAUGGCUGUCGGCCUUCCAGAA
Long non-coding RNA from Populus euphratica (Euphrates poplar), 711 nucleotides. RefSeq lists it as uncharacterized. NCBI's taxonomy places the organism in Eukaryota, Viridiplantae, Streptophyta, Magnoliopsida, Malpighiales, Salicaceae. The record is from RefSeq and is a predicted model, not a curated record. The transcript is spliced from 2 exons.